ACACUCUGGUUUCUUUUCAGAUCAUAUAAAUCUUUUGCCUUUUACUAAAUAUUUCGGUGAAAAGGAACAACUGAGUCUAAACACUUUUUUUGGGGCGGUGU
RNAcentral lists this small nuclear RNA (101 nucleotides) under Jaculus jaculus (lesser Egyptian jerboa). RNAcentral describes it as "U5 spliceosomal RNA (ENSJJAG00000009466.1)". It matches the Rfam family "U5 spliceosomal RNA", at positions 1 to 103 of the family's 117-position model. From Rfam's summary of the family: U5 RNA is a component of both types of known spliceosome. The precise function of this molecule is unknown, though it is known that the 5' loop is required for splice site selection and p220 binding, and that both the 3' stem-loop and the Sm site are important for Sm protein binding and cap methylation. Lineage: Eukaryota; Metazoa; Chordata; Mammalia; Rodentia; Dipodidae. The record is from RNAcentral.